CAGUCGCCACGGGAAUACGUAGGUGGCAGGCGUUGUCCGGAAUUAUUGGGCGUAAAGGGCUCGCAGGCGGUUUCUUAAGUCUGAUGUGAAAGCCCCCGGCUCAACCGGGGAGGGUCAUUGGAAACUGGGAAACUUGAGUGCAGAAGUGGAGAGUGGAAUUCCACGUGUAGCGGUGAAAUGCGUAGAGAUGUGGAGGAACACCAGUGGCGAAGGCGACUCUCUGGUCUGUAACUGACGCUGAGGAGCGAAAGCGUGGGGAGCGAACAGGAUUAGAUACCCCCGUAGUCCCUGUCUCUUAUAC
Molecule: ribosomal RNA, 301 nt
Filed under: uncultured bacterium
Lineage: Bacteria
Description: partial 16S ribosomal RNA
Rfam family: Bacterial small subunit ribosomal RNA
Source: RNAcentral